UCGGCUAUAUAUACAUACAAGUUGAGCAAUAACAAGUGCAAGCAUUGUACCACCACAUUUCAUCAAAUUAAGCAUCCAAACUAAACAGUAGUUAUGGCUUUUCUUGCAGUAACUUCUCUAAUGAGAACUUUAGAGUUUCAGUUCCUACACCCCCAACCACGAGUCAUUCUUUCAAACAGAGAGCAGACUGAGUCUCUUUAUGAAAAACUUGGUCGUUUCCUAGUUUUUCUUGAUAUAUUUGAGAAGAAUGCCGACAAUCUUCCGGAGAUGAGAGCAGUCAUAGAAGAAAUUAUAGAUGUGACUGUCCAGGCUGAUGAUGACAUUGAAGAGGAACUGUUGACCGGCUUCAGAACUAGUGUACUGCAGCAGCAGCCCACUGCUUCAACAAAACUUGAAGAAACCUUGCAGCGCAUAGUGGAUGACGUUGAAAAUCUGGUGCAGAUUACAAUAAACACCAGUGAGCUUGUCAACAGUAAUCUCACGGUUGGAGGCUCCUACCCACAACAUACCUCCCAUGUGGAUUUGGUCCACGAGGACACCAGUGAGGUUGUGAACAGUAAUCUCACGGUUGGAGGCUCCUCCUCACAACAUAACUCGUGUGAGGAGGAUGCAAUGGUAGGACAAUCAGAAGAGCUGGAUAAGGUAAUGAGUCAGCUCCUUGGUGGCAAAGAUAAACAACCACUCCAAGUAAUGGCACUUGUGGGCAUGGGCGGCAUUGGCAAGACAACUUUUGCUAAAAGAAUUUAUGAUGAGCCUAGAGUCAUAUCUCAUUUCGAUUUACGUGCUUGGACAACCAUGUCUCAAGAGCAUAACAAAGGACAAGCGAUCCUUGACCUUUGUUGUUGCGUCAAGCCAUCAAGCAGUGCCUUCAACAAUGAAAUGAAGGACGAUCUAGCUGAGCAACUUUGCAAAAGUUUAUCAGGCCGUAGGUACCUUAUUAUUGUGGACGACAUAUGGACUACUGCUGCCUGGGAUGAUAUCCACAGAUGUUUUCCUGAUGAUAAUAAUGGGAGCAAAAUAUUGUUGACGACGCGAGCUAAAGAGGUAGCCAAGUAUGCAGGCUCUGGUGAGUGUUCUUAUGACAUGCGUUUCUUAAAUGAAAAGGAAGGUUGGGGUUUAUUUCAUAAGAAGUUUUUGGAAAAAGAAUUACUUGAGAGAGAUGAAUUUAAAAAAGUCGGGAUGAACAUUGUUCGGAAAUGUCAUGGUUUACCAAUCACAGUUGUGGUGAUGGCAGGGCUUCUAUCUAAAACCGAUAAGUCAAUAGGUGAAUGGGAAAAAAUUGAAAAAAACUUAAAUUCUCUAUUGGCUUUAGACCUUCAUGAGCGAUUUUCAAGAAUACUCACGUUAAGUUACAACCACUUGCCUAGUCAUUUGAAGGGUUGUUUUUUGUAUUUAGGAGCUUUUCAUGAAGAUAGUGAGAUUCCAGUUAAAAAGCUUAUUAGGUUAUGGAUUGCAGAGGGAUUUGUAGAGACAAUAAGUCAUAGAAAGAAGCUAGAAGAAGUAUGUAGAGAUUAUUUGCAAGAUCUUAUUGAUAGAUGUUUAGUUAUGGUUAGUAAGAAAUGCUUUGAUGGCCAAAUCAAGACCUGUACCGUGCAUGAUCUGUUACUCGAGUUGUGCUCGAGCAAGGCUAUAAACGAGAACCUUUUGUUCCUUGAAACUACUGGUAGCAACCAUACUUUUGGUCGCUUUCUUCGAUUAAGUGAUGAGCGUUGGUUAAGUAUUAAAGUAGUAAAUACAGAUUUUCAUAUUUCCAUUUCUUCCAAGAAAUGGCGUUCCAUUUUAUGUUUUAAUAGCUCUGGUAUGAAAUGGUUUUUGCAAGCCACCUCUUUUAAGAAGUUAAUAGUGUUAGACUUGAGCAAGAUUGACUUCAAGUCAGGUGUGCCUCAAGAUAUUACAGAUCUUGUUUUCCUAAGGUACCUAGCAUUAGCCUCAAGUAUGCUUCUAAAGCAUAUACCUUUGGACAAGAAUUGGAAUCUACAGACACUAAUUAUCAGUGAAGGAGAUGAUAAGGAUGCCCACAAGCUGCUGCCUCAUGGAAUUUGGGAUAAUUUGCAACAACUAAGGCAUCUUGAAAUCAACCACAAGCUGCAGGUUUCUAUUGAUCUUCUAAAAGUUCAAGAAAACCUGCAGACACUUUAUUGGUUGUCUAUCUCACAGUGCACAGAGGAAGUGUUUAAGAGAAUCCCGAAUGUUAAAGAGUUGGGAAUAGUUGCAGGAGAACACGACAAAGUGUUGCCACAAGAUUUAAAUAACCUGUGUUGUUUAGAUUAUCUUGAGAAGCUAAGAGUUGAUGGCUCUGACCACCCUUUACACUUGCCUCCACAGCCACAGGGUCAUAUUUUCCCAAAAAACCUCAAGGAGUUGACAUUUGUGAGUACCCGCAUACCAUGGAGCGAGAUGAGUAUUAUUAGUAUGCUAUCUAAUCUGGAGGUGCUUAAACUCAAGAACUCGGCCUGCAAGGGACAGGUGUGGGAACUAACUGAGGGUCGUGGCUUCCCUCAGUUAAAAGUUCUUAUCAUUUCUGGCACAGAUUUGAAGGUGUGGAAGGCAUACAGGGACUCUCCUUUCCCUAAACUCGAGCGCUUAAAACUAAAAAAGUGCUUCGAGUUGAAAGAGAUGCCAGAUUGUUUUGAACGUAGCAUGACACUCCAAUUAAUUAAGUUGGUGUAUUGCUCUGCUUCCCUUGUUCAUUCUGCUAACAAGAUUAAAAAAGAUAUGUUUGAUGUUCUUGACUUCCAUACUCGACCAGACCGUCACCAAUCACCAUGUUGAUCCUCUAAGAAGAAGAAGGUUCUAGUGAAUAAGCUUGUAGAGAUCAGAAGAAACCUGAGUAUCCCCAUACUUUAAUGUUCUUGGAUGACAAAAAGCAGAUUCCCUGGAAAGACGAAGUAGCAACCCAAGGAGGCAGAAGCUGUUGGAGCGAAGGAAGCUCUAAAAUGGAUGAAGGAAUUAAACCGGUCUCGAUAGAAUUCAAGCAGAGAUGGACGCACUUCAAGUUCUUCAGAGCCUACAUCUACAGCAUUUAGACUUGUCCAACCCUUUGAUCUCAUCAUUAAUGACAUUUCUAGAUUAGCUAAAAUUUUUCUUAGCUUAAUUUUAGGUUUUUGUUUCUUGAGCGAUUUGCGAUAUGGUUGCCCAUUUGCUUACUAGGGAAGCCGUAUUCAAGCUAAGUUGUGGUUUUUUUUUUUUUUUUUUUUUUUUUUUUUUUUUUUUUUUUUUUUUUUUUUUUUUUUUUUUUUUUUUUUUUUUUUUUGAGAACAGGUUGUGUUGUUCUUGUUCUUGAUUUUCCUCCUCCCCUGUUGAGGAUAUGAUCUACUGGUUUCUAAUCUAAAUUAAUGUUAUGACGGCUUUUGUUUUUCCAUAAUUUGAUUAUGAAUUGGAGGUGAAGGGUGGAACCACCAACUUUCUAUUUAACAAAAA
Ipomoea triloba (trilobed morning glory) is the source of this 3420-nucleotide RNA transcript. It is a transcript of the gene named putative late blight resistance protein homolog R1B-17, with no coding region annotated. Lineage: Eukaryota; Viridiplantae; Streptophyta; Magnoliopsida; Solanales; Convolvulaceae. The transcript has 3 exons. The record is from RefSeq and is a predicted model, not a curated record.